UGAGAGGUGGACUGGGGAACAUCUGAGUACAGCCAAAGGAAACAUUGGUAGACAUGUGAGGAGCCAGUUUCUGAGGCAGUAGGGCCGGAGAUCUUGGGUCUAGUUGGCUCCAGAUGCUUCUAAUCAUGAGGGGUCAUGCUGAACUCAUGACCCCACUGCUUCUCUGCCUGCUAGGGCGAUGGUUCUGAUGUGAUCCUGAACGGUAGGAGAGAAGAAGACCGAAGAGAAGAAAGGACAUGAAGCAAGGGACGGGCGGAGGAGGAGAGCGGCGGGAGGCAGGCCAGCAGAGGAUACUUUCUGCAGCUCGUAACCUCAGACUAAAACAGCAGUGACUGGAACAUGAAAAGUAUUCACAGGAGGCGAAGUCUCCAGGCGGACCCUGCUGGCGCAGCAGCUCAGCUGUGUCUGCAGGUCUUCCCUGGCAUCUUGGCAUGCUGGAUCAUUGCAGUAUAGUUGCGAAGAGUCUGUUGGAGCAGCAAGCAUCAUGCCCAUGCUCAAGUUAGGAAGAAUCUCAAAGAAUUUGGAGCAUUGGCUGAGAUGAACCUGAGGAAAAUAAUUUGUUUUUGUGAGGCUGAGAACGAACGAAUGGACACAGUUGAUCUUGCCAGCUCUUGAGUUCUGUGGCUGAGUUCCCCGAGAAAGCUGCACUUCAAGAGGCACAGAAGACUCAAGUCCGGCACAAGCAUCCUUUCCUCCUCUGACCAGUGCUGGGGUGAGUCUGCUGUAGCCAAGGCCCAGCGCGUCAGCCCCGUUCACGGAAACCAUCUCGGGAUGUGUCCUUUGCAUCUUGGAGCGAUUGUUCCUUGCUCUUUAACCACGGUGGCCGUGCUUUGAGUAGCAGUAGGACCUGGCUUCUCUAGCUUCGCUUCAAAAGCUCUUUGUAGCUUGCCUGCCCUUUGGUCUCCCUGUCUUUGGUGACAUCAGGCCAAUCUGAGUUGACCUCAGUCCUGCCACAGCUCUACCUGGGCUCUACCUGCUUUGACCCUCUGGAGUAAAGAACCUCAGACAAAACAGAACUUCAGCCCCGUGGAAAUGUUCACCAGCUUUAGAAAUGUAAAGUGAUUUCCAUGUAGCGCCAUCCUGCCACUAGUCAGCCCUGGCCAUCGUUAAGAGUUUAUUAUUAAAAACUAACCAUCUUCACACAGUGCCAAAUAUCUAAAGGAAAACUCAACUAUGUGGAUGUUCUUUCUCAAUGUUGUGCAAUCCAAACAUUUGGCCCCCGAGAGAAUCUGGCAUCUGUGUGUAUUUAGCACACAGACACCCGGACGUUUGGACAAGGAAUGGAAAACUCAGCAAAGACAGGGAAUCCUGGCAUUUGUAGAAAGGAGAGUUGCAAGGCCGAGGAGUCCAUAGGUGGGUUCGGGCUGGUGUCGACAGCCCCAGCUUCUCCGAGAGCAGUACAGACUCUGAUGAGGGACCCAUCCCAGCCUAACGAAGUGAGGACAGGCGGCAGGUCAAUACUCCCCUCCCUGGAUGACAUCUCUGUCCUUUUGAGCUUCUGGGCUAAGAAGCAUGUGUCAACUUGCACAGCUCCCCCCCCCCCCCCCCCCCCCAGCAACCUGCUUUCUCGGCCCUGGCUUACCUUAGAAAGCAAAAACAAAUUUUUUGUUCCAACAUACCACAGCUACUUAGAUGUGGAAACUUAGCCUUCUUAAGAUCAAAAUCCCAUGACUCACCCUGACUCCUACUUUAUUAGAAAGCAUGUGGCCCUGCAGUUGGCACUGUCGGGCUAGCUAAAAUGUACCUAUCUUAAGAAAGGUGACACCAGCCGGGAGCUAGCACAGUUGGCCCAAAGUUGGCACACAAGGAACUACACACAAGGCCGACUGUUUUGCAAGCUUUUGUCUUCAUUACCUUCCUAGGGCAGUAGACAGAGAAGGGACCAAGCUCUCUGAGCUAUGUACCUCUUCUCAUCUAAACGACUCCAAAGAAAUAACUGGCCUUUGUUAGGCUGAGAUUGACUGGCCUGGAGUGGUCUUGCUAUGUAAGGCUCUGUGACCCACAAUCCUCCUGCCUCUGUCUCCUGAGGGUUAUGAUACAUAGCAAGUUCAAGGCCAACUCCAGCUACCUAAUGAGACCCUGUCUUAAAAAGCAAAGAUCUGGGAGUACAGCCUGGUGGUUGAGUGCAAAAGUGCAAGGCCCUGGGUUCGAGCUCCAGCACAGUCGCAAAGAAAGAAAAAGAAAAAUUCACGUGGCUUCUUGUUAUGGUGGUAGCACCAGAAUGCUGCUUCCCUUAUCCUGUCCUUCC
This is a non-coding RNA of Peromyscus maniculatus bairdii (prairie deer mouse), 2248 nucleotides long. NCBI's taxonomy places the organism in Eukaryota, Metazoa, Chordata, Mammalia, Rodentia, Cricetidae. The record is from RefSeq and is a predicted model, not a curated record.